AGCCUUCAGUUCAUGGGCAUGAUGACUGGGUGUUCACGCUGUAUGCGUGAAAUGUGCCUUCUUCAAACCUUGAUACGACGUGGGCACAUUACCUGGCUGAAG
Molecule: small nucleolar RNA, 102 nt
Organism: Octodon degus (degu)
Lineage: Eukaryota; Metazoa; Chordata; Mammalia; Rodentia; Octodontidae
Product: small nucleolar RNA U13
Exons: 1
Source: RefSeq, a predicted model, not a curated record